UGUGCUCUUCCCAUCUUCUGGGGUUGGCCUGCCUUGCUUGUUGCCGUGGGGGGUUUUCCUCCUUCCCCCCCCUGCUGCUGGUGGUGGCUUGUCUUGGGUGGUCGCUCUCCUUGCAGUGUGUGUGGUGGACCCAUUGUUUCGUGUUCUCUGUGUGUGUGUGUGGAUCUCUCCUAUGUUUUUUCCACCGGGUGCGUCCAAUGGGGUGAGCUGUGGCUCGCGAGGGCUUAUGCUCUAAUAAAUUUGUUAGUCUCUAAGGUGCCACAAAUACUCCUUUUCUUUUUGCGAAUACAGACUAACACGGCUGCUACUCUGAAAC
Long non-coding RNA from Dermochelys coriacea (leatherback sea turtle), 316 nucleotides. RefSeq lists it as uncharacterized. The record is from RefSeq and is a predicted model, not a curated record. NCBI's taxonomy places the organism in Eukaryota, Metazoa, Chordata, Testudines, Dermochelyidae. The transcript has 3 exons.